This is a non-coding RNA of Vicugna pacos (alpaca), 290 nucleotides long. The record is from RefSeq and is a predicted model, not a curated record. Lineage: Eukaryota; Metazoa; Chordata; Mammalia; Artiodactyla; Camelidae.
GCAGCAUCUUGCCCAUGUCGUUGCACGCAUUGUCGCGAGCCUCGUCCAUGCGCACGGCGUUCUCCGGAGCCGAGAACGCCUGGAUCACCUCGGCCAGGACCACUGUGCGGCAGAUGAAUCCCAGGCAGGAGUCCCGGAUUUGUGAAUGUUUGAUACAAGUCUAUGCAAAUGAGUCGAUGCCGAUUGGCUGAGAAAGAAGCCAGACACUCCCCUUUAGUUUUUAAGAAGCAAGACAGAGCUUCGCAGCAAUAAAAACUGGGCGCUAAAUCAGCUCUUGUGCUUUCCUAAAA